GUGCUCACUUCAGAAGCACAUAUACUAAAAUUGGAAUGAUCCAGAAAUUACCAUGGUCACUGCACAAGAAUGACAUGCAAAUUCCUGUAGCAUUCCAUAUUUCU
Small nuclear RNA from Otolemur garnettii (small-eared galago), 104 nucleotides. Lineage: Eukaryota; Metazoa; Chordata; Mammalia; Primates; Galagidae. The record is from Ensembl.